Non-coding RNA from Parasteatoda tepidariorum (common house spider), 363 nucleotides. The record is from RefSeq and is a predicted model, not a curated record. Lineage: Eukaryota; Metazoa; Arthropoda; Arachnida; Araneae; Theridiidae.
GGAUAUAAUGACAUAGCUACAUUUCCACCCAAUGAACGUCUAGAGUAUAUUCAGGAUUUAAAUGAUGUAAUACGUGGCUGUUCAUUCGUUGUCCAUGGUAAACAUCCCGAGGAUUGUGACUUGUCAUAUUUCAAGAAGUCAAGUGUUUCCACACCAACUGAGUCUGGUUUUUUGAGUGGCUGUUGGACUUUGAAUACUGUUUUUGGAAGACCAAAUGCAAAGCCAAGUGUAGUGACUUCGAGUGGGACCAUAGUUCUCAAUAUAUCCAUUGAUGAAAGGGAAUAUAUAUAUCUUUAUCAUCCUCCAGAAGGGUUAAUAUCCAUUCACAAUCCGUACCGCAUAGUCAAUCCUCACAUUGAAGGC